GGUUAAGCGAAUAAGCGUACACGGUGGAUGCCUAGGCAAUCAGAGGCGAUGAAGGACGUGCUAAUCUGCGAAAAGCGUCGGUAAGGUGAUAUGAACCGUUAUACCCGACGAUAUCCGAAUGGGGAAACCCAGUAUCCAAUGGAUACUAUCAUUAACUGAAUCCAUAGGUUAAUGAGGCGAACCGGGAGAACUGAAACAUCUCAGUACCCCGAGGAAAAGAAAUCAACCGAGAUUCCCCUAGUAGCGGCGAGCGAACGGGGAGCAGCCCAGAGUCUUAAUCAAUAGCAGUGUCAGGAGAACGGUCUGGAAAGUCCGGCAGUAAAGGGUGAUAGCCCCGUAUCUGAAGAUGCUGUUAUUGUGAACUCGACGAGUAGGGCGGGACACGUGUUAUCCUGUCUGAAUAUGGGGGGACCAUCCUCCAAGGCUAAAUACUCCUGAUUGACCGAUAGUGAACCAGUACCGUGAGGGAAAGGCGAAAAGAACCCCGGCGAGGGGAGUGAAAAAGAACCUGAAACCGUGUACGUACAAGCAGUAGGAGCCUCUUUAUGGGGUGACUGCGUACCUUUUGUAUAAUGGGUCAGCGACUUAUAUUCUGUAGCAAGGUUAACCGUAUAGGGGAGCCGUAGGGAAACCGAGUCUUAACUGGGCGAAUGAGUUGCAGGGUAUAGACCCGAAACCCGGUGAUCUAUCCAUGGGCAGGUUGAAGGUUGGGUAACACUAACUGGAGGACCGAACCGACUAAUGUUGAAAAAUUAGCGGAUGACUUGUGGAUGGGGGUGAAAGGCCAAUCAAACCGGGAGAUAGCUGGUUCUCCCCGAAAGCUAUUUAGGUAGCGCCUCGUGAAUUCAUCUUCGGGGGUAGAGCACUGUUUCGACUAGGGGGUCAUCCCGACUUACCAACUCGAUGCAAACUGCGAAUACCGAAGAAUGUUAUCACGGGAGACACACGGCGGGUGCUAACGUCCGUCGUGAAGAGGGAAACAACCCAGACCGCCAGCUAAGGUCCCAAAGUCAUGGUUAAGUGGGAAACGAAGUGGGAAGGCUCAGACAGCCAGGAUGUUGGCUUAGAAGCAGCCAUCAUUUAAAGAAAGCGUAAUAGCUCACUGGUCGAGUCGGCCCGCGCGGAAGAUGUAACGGGGCUAAACCAUGCACCGAAGCUGCGGCAGCGA
RNAcentral lists this ribosomal RNA (1168 nucleotides) under Proteus mirabilis. RNAcentral's name for it is "partial 23S ribosomal RNA". It matches the Rfam family "Bacterial large subunit ribosomal RNA", at positions 1 to 1211 of the family's 2925-position model. The record is from RNAcentral. Lineage: Bacteria; Pseudomonadati; Pseudomonadota; Gammaproteobacteria; Enterobacterales; Morganellaceae.